Molecule: ribosomal RNA, 250 nt
Filed under: uncultured bacterium
Lineage: Bacteria
Description: partial 16S ribosomal RNA
Rfam family: Bacterial small subunit ribosomal RNA
Source: RNAcentral
UACGUAGGUGGCGAGCGUUGUCCGGAUUUACUGGCGUAAAGAGCGCGCAGGCGGUCGUACAAGUCGCGUGUGAAAGCCCCCGGCUCAACUGGGGAGGGUCACGCGAUACUGUUCGACUCGAAGGCAGGAGAGGGAAGUGGAAUUCCCGGUGUAGUGGUGAAAUGCGUAGAUAUCGGGAGGAACACCAGUGGCGAAGGCGACUUCCUGGCCUGUUCUUGACGCUGAGGCGCGAAAGCUAGGGUAGCAAACG